This 459-nucleotide unclassified non-coding RNA is filed under the name Cladosporium cladosporioides. RNAcentral's name for it is "sequence contains ITS1, 5.8S rRNA gene and ITS2". The stretch from base 142 to 295 matches the Rfam family "5.8S ribosomal RNA". Lineage: Eukaryota; Fungi; Ascomycota; Dothideomycetes; Cladosporiales; Cladosporiaceae. The record is from RNAcentral.
CUAACACCGGGAUGUUCAUAACCCUUUGUUGUCCGACUCUGUUGCCUCCGGGGCGACCCUGCCUUCGGGCGGGGGCUCCGGGUGGACACUUCAAACUCUUGCGUAACUUUGCAGUCUGAGUAAACUUAAUUAAUAAAUUAAAACUUUUAACAACGGAUCUCUUGGUUCUGGCAUCGAUGAAGAACGCAGCGAAAUGCGAUAAGUAAUGUGAAUUGCAGAAUUCAGUGAAUCAUCGAAUCUUUGAACGCACAUUGCGCCCCCUGGUAUUCCGGGGGGCAUGCCUGUUCGAGCGUCAUUUCACCACUCAAGCCUCGCUUGGUAUUGGGCAACGCGGUCCGCCGCGUGCCUCAAAUCGACCGGCUGGGUCUUCUGUCCCCUAAGCGUUGUGGAAACUAUUCGCUAAAGGGUGUUCGGGAGGCUACGCCGUAAAACAACCCCAUUUCUAAGGUUGACCUCGGA